GAUGAACGCUGGCGGUAUGCCUAACACAUGCAAGUCGUACGAGAGUUUUUAACUCAAGUGGCGGACGGGUGAGUAACACGUGAGAAUUUACCUUUAGGAGGGGGAUAACAGUUGGAAACGAUUGCUAAUACCCCAUAUGCUUCCGAGUGAAAUAGAUUUAUCUGCCUAAAGAGAAGCUCGCGGCUGAUCAGCUUGUUGGUAAGGUAAUGGCUUACCAAGGCGACGAUCAGUAUCUGGUUUGAGAGGACGAUCAGACACACUGGAACUGAGACACGGUCCAGACUCCUACGGGAGGCAGCAGUGGGGAAUUUUCCGCAAUGGGCGAAAGCCUGACGGAGCAAUACCGCGUGAGGGAAGACGGCCUAUGGGUUGUAGACCUCUUUUUUCAGGGAGGAAAAAAAUGACGUGUACCUGAAGAAUAAGCAUCGGCUAACUCCGUGCCAGCAGCCGCGGUAAGACGGAGGAUGCAAGUGUUAUCCGGAAUCACUGGGCGUAAAGCGUCUGUAGGUGGUUUAAUAAGUCAACUGUUAAAUCUUGAGGCUUAACUUCAAAACUGCAGUCGAAACUAUUAGACUAG
This 577-nucleotide ribosomal RNA is filed under the name uncultured bacterium. Its description in RNAcentral is "bacterial SSU rRNA". It matches the Rfam family "Bacterial small subunit ribosomal RNA", at positions 28 to 644 of the family's 1533-position model. The record is from RNAcentral.